GGAGCGAGGCGGUGCGCAUCAUCGCUGCUUAUUUUCCUCUUUUGGGAUCCCUCCAUCCUGCUGUGGAAAAGAAGAGUGCCCACCGUACAGCUCAUUUGCCUUCUCUCAUAUGAGCAUUUCUUUUUUUCUUCUUCCCAAUUUGGGAAAAUGGUCCUCGUUCCAGCAUCGGACUAAAAGUAUUUGCUGUGGAAGUGACUAGGGAACCAACGGGGGGGGGGGAAUACAAAUGCUGGAAGUUUUGGUUCUCGGAUCGCUCCAUUGAGUUUGGGAUUUUUCCGUGCGUUUGCAGAGGAGGGUGAAGCUGAAGCAUUCAAGGAAGGCUUGGAAAUUUGUUCCCUCCUCCCUCCGCUGCAGCUCGCCGUCUGCGGCUUUCGCAGCUCUCCUCUUGGCCACGCUAUGAUUUAACACCGGGGAGGACCACCACUUAUCCCCCCCACUCCUCUUCCUUCACCUCCUCUUCUUCUUGCAUCCUGGUGAAGAGUCAGCAGCUCCUUACAGAUGGACUAAAAAAAAAAAAAAAAAGACAGGAGAGACGUCUUUUUCUUGGAUUUGCUCUGCUUUUGAAUAAGGAGGAGACUAUCUAUUCAUCUUGUCUAUCCAUCGAUCUGUUUGGACACCAUGAGAGUUCUUUGGGCGAUGUUGCUCAUGGCUGUCAUUUGGAGCCACGAGUGGAAAUGUGCGCUCUCGGACUCCAUCAUCCACAUUGGCGCCAUUUUCGACAAGUCGGCGCGGAAGGAUGACGAGGUGUUUCGCCUUGCCGUGGCGGACCUCAACCUGAACAAUGAGAUCUUGGAGACAGAGAAGAUCACCAUCUCUGUGGAAUUCGUGGACGGGAACAACCCAUUCCAGGCUGUGCAAGAAGCGUGCGAGCUGAUGAACCGCGGCAUCUUGGCCCUGGUCAGCUCCAUCGGCUGCAUGUCGGCAGGCAGCCUGCAGACGCUGGCCGACGCCAUGCACAUCCCGCACCUCUUCAUUCAGCGCUCCACGGGGGGCACGCCCCGCUCCGACUGCCCGCCCACCAGCCGCAGCCCUGGAGCCGACGACUACACCCUGAUGGUGCGCCCGCCCAUCUAUCUCAACGAGGUCAUCAUGCAAGUGGUGUCCGAGUAUAGCUGGCAGAAGUUUGUCCUCUUCUACGACUCCGACUACGAUAUCCGGGGUAUCGAGGACUUCCUUGAUCGCGCCUCCCAUCAGGGCAUGGACGUGUCACUCCAAAAGGUGGAGUCCAACGUCAACAUGAUGAUCACCAGCCUGUUCAGGACCAUGCGGGUAGAAGAGCUACAUCGCUACAGGGACACGUUACGCAGAGCCGUGCUGUUCAUGAGCCCAGCCACCGCCAAGGCAUUUAUCUCUGAGGUGGUCGAGACCAACUUGGUGGCCUUUGAUUGUCACUGGAUCCUCAUCAACGAGGAGAUCUCCGACUACGACCUGCAAGAGUUGGUAAUGAAGUCGGUGGGUCGGCUGACGUUGGUGCGCCAGACAUUCCCCAUGCCACAGAACACAACCCAGCGUUGCGUUAAGCACAACCACCGGAUCAACACGUCCCUCUGUGACCCCAAGAACGCCAAGGCUCAGCAGCUGGAGAUCACUAACCGCUACAUCUAUGACACGGUGCUGCUGCUAGCUAACACCUUCCACAGAAAGCUGGAGGACAGGAAGUGGCACAGUAUGGCCAGUCUGAGCUGCAUCCGGAAGAACUCCAAACCCUGGCAAGGGGGGAAAAGCAUGCUGGACACUGUCAAAAAGUUCGGCGUGAGUGGCCUCACCAGCUUCCUGGAGUUCACCGACAACGGCACCAACCCAAACAUCUUCUUCGAAAUCCUGGGCACAAACUACGGAGAGGACCGCGGGCGAGGAGUCAGCAGGCUGGCCACAUGGGAUCCAGUUCAUGGCCUGAAUGGGACCUUGACGGACAGGAAGUUGGAGAACAACAUGCGAGGAGUGGUGCUGAGAGUCGUUACUGUCUUGGAGGAGCCGUUUGUGAUGGUGUCAGAGAACGUUCUAGGCAAACCCAAGAAAUACCAGGGCUUCUCCAUCGACGUCCUGGAUGCUCUGUCCAACUACUUGGGCUUCAAGUACGAGAUCUAUAUCGCACCGGACCACAAGUAUGGCAGCUUGCAGCCUGACGGCCAGUGGAAUGGUCUCAUGGGGGAGCUUGUUUUUAAGCGAGCUGAUGUCGGACUCUCCGCCCUGACUAUCACGCCUGAGCGCGAGAGCGUCGUGGACUUCACCACGCGCUACAUGGACUACUCCGUGGGUGUGUUGCUGCGCAAGGCCGAGCGCACAGUGGACAUAUUCGCCUGCCUGGCCCCCUUCGACCUGUCACUGUGGGCGUGCAUUGCGGGCACAGUGCUGCUGGUUGGCAUCCUGGUCUAUUUACUCAACUGGCUCAACCCACCUCGACUGCCUAUGGGCUCCGUGUCCUCCACGACACUCUACAACUCCAUGUGGUUCGUGUACGGGUCCUUCGUGCAGCAAGGUGGCGAGGUCCCCUACACCACCCUGGCGACAAGGAUGAUGAUGGGCGUUUGGUGGAUGUUCGCUCUCAUCGUCAUCUCCUCGUACACGGCCAAUUUAGCGGCGUUCCUCACCAUCACGCGCAUCGAGAACUCUAUACAAUCCCUCCAGGACUUGUCCAAGCAGACGGAGCUUCCCUAUGGCACGGUGCUGGACUCUGCGGUGUACGACCAGGUACGCUCCAAGGCCAUGAACCCCUUCGAGAGAGACCCCAUGUACUCGCAGAUGUGGCGGAUGAUCAACCGCACGGGAGGAGCCGACAACAACGUGGAGGAGUCCAAGGAAGGCAUCCGAAAGGUGAAGUACGGCCGCUUCGGCUUCGUGUGGGAUUCGGCGGUGCUGGAGUAUGUCGCCAACAAUGACGAGGAUUGCUCCUUCUACACGGUGGGCAGCAAUGCGCCGGAUCGCGGCUACGGCAUCGCCAUGCAGCACGGCAGUCCCUACCGCGACAUUUUCUCCCAGAGAAUCUUGGAGCUUCAGCAGAAUGGCGACAUGGAUAUUCUCAAGCUCAAGUGGUGGCCAAAGGACAGCCCCUGUGAACUCUACAGCUCGAUGCAAUCAGGGCACAGCAACGCCCUGGACAUCCAUAGCUUCGCCGGCGUCUUCUGCGUCCUGGCAGCCGGCGUGGUGCUUUCCUGUCUCAUAGCCAUGGUGGAAAGCUGGUGGUCACGGAGGAAGGGAUCCAGGGUCCCCUCCAAGGAGAAGCAGGCAGACGGCCCAUCUGCCAGGCAAACUGCCGAUCCCUGCCCUCACAGCCCCAACGAGCGCCCUGCGGCCCUGGCCGCUCAGAUCCAGAACCAGACCUCUAACACCUCCAACGCCGCUGCCCCCGCUCCCACCCGUUACCAGCCCCCAGCAUGCUGCGACAUUCCCUGCGCCCUGAUCGUGCAACACUCCUACGAACCGAACAACCCCUCCGAGCUCGCCCCCAAAAUGCGAAUGACCACCUUCACCACCUCACCCCCCACCCCGAGGUUAUACAUACAGUAGAACAUUUAAGUAAGACCGCACUUGAUAAUGCUUAAAGACUGAAUGACUAAAUGGCAGUAUGGAAUCAGUUGAAAGCAAACGAGCACUUAAUGUUGUCAAAACAUGCAUUUUCCUCACUGUGUGUGUAACGAGGCCUUUUUGCCUGUAGAGGAGGCUGUCUGUAUACGGGGAGUAAAAAUCGGGUUACAUCUUUACCUAUCAAGUUCAAUGCGAUACUUUUGCACAUAAUACUUCAUUCACCAAAGUUAUGCCUUUGAUUUCUGAUCAACAUUAGAGGUGCAUUAGAAAUGUUGAUCAUGAUCUGUAGGUGCAGUAUGAUUAUGGCAGGACCUCCAGAACUUUCCACCAAACCCUUCUACUCGUCCUGGCUGCGACCCCUUUGUCUUCUCCAAGUCCCCUCUCAAAGAUAGCAGAUUUUGAUUGACUCUUCUCUUUUACAUCCAUUCAUUUUAUUGUCAUACCAACUUUUUACACUCCUGUGGCGUACCCUUGUUUUAAUUGUUCAGUGUGUGUAUGAUAGUGGCAGGAAAAGCAUUAGCUCCCUCCCGUCCUCUCCACCCCCCCACUGCUCCCUCCUUAGAUGGCAACGGGAGGGUGCCACUGUUGGUUACCUUGGUCCAUGAGCGUCAAAUGGUAUGGCCUGACCCCCUUCCAGAGCCCCCUUGGUCCAAAGGACACGGACGAUAAGGAGAUCGACCUGGAGCACCUACACCGCCGGGUUAACAGCCUGUGCACAGAGGACGAAAGCCCCCACAAGCAAUUC
Phycodurus eques (leafy seadragon) is the source of this 4270-nucleotide RNA transcript. It is a transcript of the gene named glutamate receptor, ionotropic, delta 2, with no coding region annotated. Lineage: Eukaryota; Metazoa; Chordata; Actinopteri; Syngnathiformes; Syngnathidae. The transcript has 17 exons. The record is from RefSeq and is a predicted model, not a curated record.